AUUGCCUUAGUAACGGCGAGUGAACAGGCAAGAGCUCAGAUUUGAAAGCCUUUCGGGGCAUUGUAUUCUGAAGCCUUGAUUCUGAGAACCGGUACCUAAGUCUUCUGGAAAGGAGCGCCAAGGAGGGUGAUAGCCCCGUACGGUACUGACCUCAUUGUAGAAUCUUGGCGUGGAGUCGAGUUGUUUGGGAAUGCAGCUCAAAUGGGUGGUAUGCUCCAUCUAAAGCUAAAUAUCUGCGAGAGACCGAUAGCGAACAAGUACUGUGAAGGAAAGAUGAAAAGAACUUUGAAAAGAGAGUGAAAAAGUACGUGAAAUUGUUGAAAUGGAAGGAUAGGCCGCUAACCACGUAGAGCCGUGUCUGAGGGGAGGAUAAAAGCUGUAGAAUGUGGCUCUUCGGAGUGUUAUAGC
This 408-nucleotide ribosomal RNA is filed under the name Starmerella bombicola. Its description in RNAcentral is "eukaryotic LSU rRNA". It matches the Rfam family "Eukaryotic large subunit ribosomal RNA", at positions 74 to 505 of the family's 3401-position model. The record is from RNAcentral. Lineage: Eukaryota; Fungi; Ascomycota; Dipodascomycetes; Dipodascales; Trichomonascaceae.